GCUGGGUGUGGUGACGCACACCUAUGAUCCCAGCUACUUGGGAGGCUGAGGCAGGAGGAUGUCAAAUUUUUCCCCAGCCUGAACAAUUCAAUGAAACCCUGUUUCAA
Molecule: small RNA, 107 nt
Filed under: Marmota monax (woodchuck)
Lineage: Eukaryota; Metazoa; Chordata; Mammalia; Rodentia; Sciuridae
Source: RNAcentral